GAACAAGGCUGAUGCAUAAGGUCUGUAGCUAUCCUGUAAGGAGCAGAGACUGAGCAUCUGAUAUUUACCUCUGUGUGGAACUGAGCAAGAAAUGACAGUGUGGAAAUGACUGAGCCCUUGAUCAUCUCUAUCAUCCUCCAGUUGCUGACCUCCAUAGGUGGACCCUUGCUGGAGGCAGAAAUCAAUGCUCUGUGUAGCUCAGCCUGCACGAAGCCUGCUGAAGAGCAUGAAGGUGCCUGGAGAAUGCUUCCCAACAGCGUCUUACCUCCGAGCACUCUGGCACCAAAACAUCUUUGGAGGAGAUGCAAAACCAGCCUGUCUGAUAUUCCAUGCCCACACUGAAAGAAAAAGGAAAAAGUGGAGAAGCAUAAGAGGUGACAGACACUGUGACUCGCAGCUAUGCUGGCCGUGGUUACAGCUGUUUGCGUCUUUAUUGUCUUUUCACAUGGCAGUGCCCGCUUGUGGAGAUGAUGGCUGUAAACCAAGUGUGAGCCUGCAGCCUUGGCAGCAGUUACAUUGAAAUUGGAAUUAAAAAGCCUCUGGGGAAAAGGCAAGAAAUAACG
Molecule: long non-coding RNA, 563 nt
Filed under: Anser cygnoides (Swan goose)
Lineage: Eukaryota; Metazoa; Chordata; Aves; Anseriformes; Anatidae
Description: lncRNA (ENSACDG00005014727.1)
Source: RNAcentral